This is a long non-coding RNA of Leptopilina boulardi, 730 nucleotides long. RefSeq lists it as uncharacterized. The transcript is spliced from 4 exons. The record is from RefSeq and is a predicted model, not a curated record. NCBI's taxonomy places the organism in Eukaryota, Metazoa, Arthropoda, Insecta, Hymenoptera, Figitidae.
AAUUUUUUUGCUGCCAACGAAAAGUUCGUACUCAAGGAAUUAUUAAUUUUAUUUGUUUUAUAGUAAAAAAAUCAGUUAUUUAAUAUAAAAAAGUGAAUAUUGAUCAAGAGGCUUUAUCUAAUAUAUAAAUAUUCGAAUCAGGUACAAAAUUGUUGGCAGGAAGACAAGAAAACUGAUUUCUCUGAUAGCGUCACUCCCAACACGUCACGUUUUUGAAGGUUAGGAAAUAAAAGUUCAUGGCAAGCAGGUUCAAGGUCAUUCAAGGAACAUUUUCUGAGAGUUGAUUAGUGUAUGAGCUAUAUAUACAUAUAUACACAUUAAGAUCAAUGAGAACCUCUGUUUUUAUAUAAAACAAAAGAAAGGAUUAAUAUUCUGGCGUAUGGAUGGACAGACUGUCAGGGACUUCGAUAUAGACGGAGGCGCCAUCUUAGUCUGCAUUCCAUUGUUUUAGAUGAUUCAUAUACGUUGUGCCUGGGCGCAGCGCGACUUCUUGAGCGAGCGAGCCCUGGGCCGAAUUCCGGCUGAAAAGAGAGAAGGCUAUCUGGGUGGCCCGUCUCUUGUUUAUACUCGUGUCCAGCUUCUCCACCUCGACCACCACUAACAUAAUGAAAAAGAAAAGGAAAGGAGAAAAAAUGUACACCCUGCUUUUAUCAAGAUAAUUGAAAUGAGCUAUUGGACACAUUGGAGCUGUGGACCUGUUCUCUACGUAGGAAAAAAAUUUUCCAAGUAA